CGCCUUAAUAUAUAAUAUAUCAUGUAUUUAAAGCAAUAGAGUACUCAUUUGAUAUAUCAGACUUAGCAUAAUUAUUCAAAAGUCAAAUUUAUAUGAGCCUGUGCCUAAAAAUGGAGGUUUUCCAAUGAAGGGGGGCCUUACAUGAAGAUGUAAUAUUUUCCAGCAAUUUUAAAUUUGUGAAGCUUUUUGAUUAUAAAUAAUCCUUACAUAUGUAUUUAAUGUACUUUAAAUGGAAAGAAAACU
RNAcentral lists this long non-coding RNA (243 nucleotides) under Mytilus galloprovincialis (Mediterranean mussel). Lineage: Eukaryota; Metazoa; Mollusca; Bivalvia; Mytilida; Mytilidae. The record is from RNAcentral.